UCUUCCCGGACCGGGGCACGAACCCGUGUCACCUGCAUCGGCAGGCGGACUCUCAACCACUGCGCCACCAGGGAAGCCCUGAAGCUGUUCUUGGAGACUGUUUCUGUAGUAAUGAGGUCAAGAGUGACACGCAUCUCCUGGUGCGCCUGUUCUAUAGAGACCUUGUGAACGGUGGGCCUUUGCUCUUCUCUUAGUCGUGGGUUGAUGUGAGUUAGCUGUUGACCUGUUUUAGAUGUAGACUCAGCCAGUGGGACCACCAGCCACAAGCAUGACAGGCCAUAGAAUGUCCCUGCACAUGGGCCCAGGCUCACAUCCUUUCCGCCUGACCUGCUCCUCACCUGGGGUCCUCUUUGAUGCAUCUCAGCUCUGUUUUCUCACAGUUGGAGACACGCGAUUACAGGUAAAGAAGAGGCUAUGGGAGAUGGUCAAAUGUCCGAUUUGCAGCCAUUCUCGGUGAAGGGUGAGGUUGCCCUCACAAGGUAACUGAAUGUUUUUGGGAAGAAGUGGCCUUUGCUUAGUGGAUUGUGAUUUUUAUUAACGAGCUGGCUCACCUCUUGAAAUGCCCUAGUCUAACUGACCCCAUCCCUGCACUAGUGGAAAAUGGGAUGGGAAGAGUGUGUGCACACAGACAUGGCCCAGGUGGUGUCGAGCAAGGAGUCUGGUGUCAGGCUGGAGAGGGAGAGGGCGGGGUGAUCCUAUCGCUUUUCUGUGCAGUUUGUAUUUCUUCAAGCCAGAGACAUCCUUUCAAUGUUGGCUUUACAUUUCCUCCCUUGGGAUUUGCAUUAAAAUUUGUUUUUCAUUAAAGAAAGAGGGAGAAUACUGACCACAUGAACCUAGAAAACCUGAAGAAACAGAAAGUGAAGGAGCCAAACCAAACCAUCAGGGAAGAUGUGGGAGAGACCAGGUCUGAGUCUUUCAUUUACUGUUAAUGUCCUGUUUUUAAACUUAACGGGCUUCAGUAAGUUAAAUGCUUCAUUUUUUUAAAUCUGUAAGCCUUUCUUAGUCUCUAUGGCAUUUUGAUAGUUUUAAAAAUGUACACUUUGUGUGUAAAGUACAUUUAUUUCUAAUUUCGGAAGGCGCGCUGCUUUGUGUUGUGCCUGGGCCUCGGAGUCAGUUCUGGGAGGGGUGGGUUCGGUUACGCAUUACUCAGAAUCCUUUGAGUGGCUGCCACCCUCUGGCUGAGUUCUAAGGACCCGGAAGCUGCCGGCUGGGGGCGUCGUGGUGUCCUGGACCUAACUUGCUCACUUGCUGAGGGUCACGUUUGCUCUUCCCAGGGGCCACUUCAGGACACAUUGGUGGUGGUCUCUUUAGUGUUUUAACAGAAGUUCUAACCAUUACUGCAACAUGGAAAUGUUCUCAGUAAAACUUUCUGUCUUCUUGUGACUCGUAGCAGUGCCUGAAGGAAGAAAGUACGUUCUCCAUUUCAGAAGAUAUCAGAUCUGCACAGGCCGCCAAGCCUGUGAAGACGCGUAACAGUGCAAAGCUUUGCAAGAAACAAGGCCAGGUGACGUCUUCAGGGGUGAUUCUCGUGGGCAGCUUUCUAGGCGCGCAUGCUUGCGUGUUUGUUCUUGCAAGUGUAAGAAGACAGUGAAUGGGGAUUUCCCUGGCAGUCCAGUGGUUAAGACUCCAUGCUUCCACUGCAGGGGGCAUGAGUUCCAUCCCUGGUACCGUGC
Long non-coding RNA from Aethalodelphis obliquidens (Pacific white-sided dolphin), 1673 nucleotides. RefSeq lists it as uncharacterized. The transcript has 3 exons. Lineage: Eukaryota; Metazoa; Chordata; Mammalia; Artiodactyla; Delphinidae. The record is from RefSeq and is a predicted model, not a curated record.